This 72-nucleotide transfer RNA is filed under the name Camelus bactrianus (Bactrian camel). It matches the Rfam family "tRNA". From Rfam's summary of the family: Transfer RNA (tRNA) molecules are approximately 80 nucleotides in length. Their secondary structure includes four short double-helical elements and three loops (D, anti-codon, and T loops). RNAcentral also lists the same sequence under 2 other names. The record is from Rfam by way of RNAcentral. Lineage: Eukaryota; Metazoa; Chordata; Mammalia; Artiodactyla; Camelidae.
GAGGUUAUAGCUCAGUGGUAGAGCACAUGCCUAGCAUGUACAAGGUCCUGGGUUCAAUCCCCAGUACCUCCA